RNAcentral lists this ribosomal RNA (301 nucleotides) under uncultured bacterium. Its description in RNAcentral is "partial 16S ribosomal RNA". It matches the Rfam family "Bacterial small subunit ribosomal RNA", at positions 509 to 808 of the family's 1533-position model. The record is from RNAcentral.
CAGUAGCCGCGGGAAUACGAAGGGUGCAAGCGUUACUCGGAAUUACUGGGCGUAAAGCGUGCGUAGGUGGUGGUUUAAGUCCGUUGUGAAAGCCCUGGGCUCAACCUGGGAAUUGCAGUGGAUACUGGGUCACUAGAGUGUGGUAGAGGAUAGUGGAAUUUCCGGUGUAGCAGUGAAAUGCGUAGAGAUCGGAAGGAACAUCUGUGGCGAAGGCGACUAUCUGGGCCAACACUGACACUGAGGCACGAAAGCGUGGGGAGCAAACAGGAUUAGAUACCCCGGUAGUCCCUGUCUCUUAACA